GAACGCGGAGUGCUGGGAAACUGGCACGCUCCGUGUGGAGCAGGGGAAAAGCCGGAGAUCGCAUCAAACGCUUACCUAUUGCUGAC
Paenibacillus sp. Soil787 is the source of this 86-nucleotide non-coding RNA. The record is from Rfam. Lineage: Bacteria; Bacillati; Bacillota; Bacilli; Caryophanales; Paenibacillaceae.